GCAUAUCAAUAAGCGGAGGAAAAGAAAAUAACAAUGAUUCCCCUAGUAACUGCGAGUGAAGAGGGACAAGCUCAAAUUUUAAAUCCGUCGGGUUACACCUGACCGAGUUGUAAUUUGAAGAGGCGUUUUCCGCGUUUUUGAUCAGUCCAAGUCCUUUGGGAUAGGGCAUCAUGGAGGGUGAGAAUCCCGUUCGGCUGAUCAGAUUCGCUUUACGAUACGUCAUCUAAGAGUCAAGUUGUUUGGGAAUGCAGCUUAAAAUGGGAGGUAAAUUUCUCCUAAGGCUAAAUAACGGCGAGAGACCGAUAGCGAACAAGUACCGUGAGGGAAAGAUGAAAAGAACUUUGAAAAGAGAGUUAAACAGUACGUGAAAUUGUUGAAAGGGAAACGAUUGAAGCCAGUCGUACCGGUGGGUAAUCAGCCUUUCGGCGUGAUUAUGUGGAGCGUGAGGAGUCAAACGCCCUCAUGGCCUGCAUAUUCGUGUUCUUUGGGUGUACUUACCCGCAUGGUAGGUUAACAUCAAUUUCGAACGUCAUAAAAUGGUUGGAGGAAUGUAGCUUCGAUCUCGUAUUGAAGUGUUAUAGCCUUCGGCAGAUGUGAUGAUCGGGAUUGAGGAUUGCAACGGAUACCCCUCGGGCUACCCGUCUGAUCUCUGAAAGCUACUCUGGUGCCGAAAGCUCGCUUACGGUCAUCAAAGUUGACGUUCAACAGGUUAGAACGGGAUAAAUUCGUUAAAGGAUGUUGACGUAAUGGCUUUAAACGAC
This 761-nucleotide ribosomal RNA is filed under the name uncultured Glomus. RNAcentral's name for it is "eukaryotic LSU rRNA". It matches the Rfam family "Eukaryotic large subunit ribosomal RNA", at positions 38 to 648 of the family's 3401-position model. The record is from RNAcentral. Lineage: Eukaryota; Fungi; Glomeromycota; Glomeromycetes; Glomerales; Glomeraceae.